GAACGCUAGCUACAGGCUUAACACAUGCAAGUCGAGGGGCAGCAUUUCAGUUUGCUUGCAAACUGGAGAUGGCGACCGGCGCACGGGUGAGUAACACGUAUCCAACCUGCCGAUAACUCGGGGAUAGCCUUUCGAAAGAAAGAUUAAUACCCGAUGGUAUAAUCAGACCGCAUGGUCUUGUUAUUAAAGAAUUUCGGUUAUCGAUGGGGAUGCGUUCCAUUAGGCAGUUGGUGAGGUAACGGCUCACCAAACCUUCGAUGGAUAGGGGUUCUGAGAGGAAGGUCCCCCACAUUGGAACUGAGACACGGUCCAAACUCCUACGGGAGGCAGCAGUGAGGAAUAUUGGUCAAUGGGCGCAGGCCUGAACCAGCCAAGUAGCGUGAAGGAUGACUGCCCUAUGGGUUGUAAACUUCUUUUAUAUGGGAAUAAAGUUUUCCACGUGUGGAAUUUUGUAUGUACCAUAUGAAUAAGGAUCGGCUAACUCCGUGCCAGCAGCCGCGGUAAUACGGAGGAUCCGAGCGUUAUCCGGAUUUAUUGGGUUUAAAGGGAGCGUAGGUGGACAGUUAAGUCAGUUGUGAAAGUUUGCGGCUCAACCGUAAAAUUGCAGUUGAUACUGGCUGUCUUGAGUACAGUAGAGGUGGGCGGAAUUCGUGGUGUAGCGGUGAAAUGCUUAGAUAUCACGAAGAACUCCGAUUGCGAAGGCAGCUCACUGGACUGCAACUGACACUGAUGCUCGAAAGUGUGGGUAUCAAACAGGAUUAGAUACCCUGGUAGUCCACACAGUAAACGAUGAAUACUCGCUGUUUGCGAUAUACAGUAAGCGGCCAAGCGAAAGCAUUAAGUAUUCCACCUGGGGAGUACGCCGGCAACGGUGAAACUCAAAGGAAUUGACGGGGGCCCGCACAAGCGGAGGAACAUGUGGUUUAAUUCGAUGAUACGCGAGGAACCUUACCCGGGCUUAAAUUGCAUUUGAAUAUAUUGGAAACAGUAUAGCCGUAAGGCAAAUGUGAAGGUGCUGCAUGGUUGUCGUCAGCUCGUGCCGUGAGGUGUCGGCUUAAGUGCCAUAACGAGCGCAACCCUUAUCUUUAGUUACUAACAGGUCAUGCUGAGGACUCUAGAGAGACUGCCGUCGUAAGAUGUGAGGAAGGUGGGGAUGACGUCAAAUCAGCACGGCCCUUACGUCCGGGGCUACACACGUGUUACAAUGGGGGGUACAGAAGGCAGCUACCUGGUGACAGGAUGCUAAUCCCAAAAGCCUCUCUCAGUUCGGAUCGAAGUCUGCAACCCGACUUCGUGAAGCUGGAUUCGCUAGUAAUCGCGCAUCAGCCAUGGCGCGGUGAAUACGUUCCCGGGCCUUGUACACACCGCCCGUCAAGCCAUGAAAGCCGGGGGUACCUGAAGUACGUAACCGCAAGGAGCGUCCUAGGGUAAAACUGGUAAUUGGGGC
Molecule: ribosomal RNA, 1447 nt
Filed under: uncultured organism
Description: SSU rRNA
Rfam family: Bacterial small subunit ribosomal RNA
Source: RNAcentral